Molecule: ribosomal RNA, 1221 nt
Filed under: Salmonella enterica
Lineage: Bacteria; Pseudomonadati; Pseudomonadota; Gammaproteobacteria; Enterobacterales; Enterobacteriaceae
Also listed under: 1 other name
Description: partial 23S ribosomal RNA
Rfam family: Bacterial large subunit ribosomal RNA
Source: RNAcentral
GGGUUGUGAGGUUAAGCGACUAAGCGUACACGGUGGAUGCCCUGGCAGUCAGAGGCGAUGAAGGGCGUGCUAAUCUGCGAUAAGCGCCGGUAAGGUGAUAUGAACCGUUAUAACCGGCGAUACCCGAAUGGGGAAACCCAGUGUGAUUCGUCACACUAUCAUUAACUGAAUCCAUAGGUUAAUGAGGCGAACCGGGGGAACUGAAACAUCUAAGUACCCCGAGGAAAAGAAAUCAACCGAGAUUCCCCCAGUAGCGGCGAGCGAACGGGGAGGAGCCCAGAGCCUGAAUCAGCAUGUGUGUUAGUGGAAGCGUCUGGAAAGGCGCGCGAUACAGGGUGACAGCCCCGUACACAAAAGCGCAUGUGCUGUGAGCUCGAUGAGUAGGGCGGGACACGUGGUAUCCUGUCUGAAUAUGGGGGGACCAUCCUCCAAGGCUAAAUACUCCUGACUGACCGAUAGUGAACCAGUACCGUGAGGGAAAGGCGAAAAGAACCCCGGCGAGGGGAGUGAAAAAGAACCUGAAACCGUGUACGUACAAGCAGUGGGAGCACAGGUUUACCUGUGUGACUGCGUACCUUUUGUAUAAUGGGUCAGCGACUUAUAUUCUGUAGCAAGGUUAACCGAAUAGGGGAGCCGGAGGGAAACCGAGUCUUAACCGGGCGUUAAGUUGCAGGGUAUAGACCCGAAACCCGGUGAUCUAGCCAUGGGCAGGUUGAAGGUUGGGUAACACUAACUGGAGGACCGAACCGACUAAUGUUGAAAAAUUAGCGGAUGACCUGUGGCUGGGGGUGAAAGGCCAAUCAAACCGGGAGAUAGCUGGUUCUCCCCGAAAGCUAUUUAGGUAGCGCCUCGUGAACUCAUCUCCGGGGGUAGAGCACUGUUUCGGCUAGGGGGCCAUCCCGGCUUACCAACCCGAUGCAAACUGCGAAUACCGGAGAAUGUUAUCACGGGAGACACACGGCGGGUGCUAACGUCCGUCGUGAAGAGGGAAACAACCCAGACCGCCAGCUAAGGUCCCAAAGUCAUGGUUAAGUGGGAAACGAUGUGGGAAGGCCCAGACAGCCAGGAUGUUGGCUUAGAAGCAGCCAUCAUUUAAAGAAAGCGUAAUAGCUCACUGGUCGAGUCGGCCUGCGCGGAAGAUGUAACGGGGCUAAACCAUGCACCGAAGCUGCGGCAGCGACACUCAGGUGUCGUUGGGUAGGGGAGCGUUCUGUAAGCCUG